GCGCCUGUAGCUCAAUGGACAGAGCAACUCCCUUCUAAGGAGUAGGUUGUGGGUUCGAUUCCCGCCAGGCGCGCUA
This 76-nucleotide transfer RNA is filed under the name Candidatus Gottesmanbacteria bacterium RIFCSPHIGHO2_02_FULL_40_13. RNAcentral describes it as "tRNA-Arg". It matches the Rfam family "tRNA". Rfam says of the family: Transfer RNA (tRNA) molecules are approximately 80 nucleotides in length. Their secondary structure includes four short double-helical elements and three loops (D, anti-codon, and T loops). Further hydrogen bonds mediate the characteristic L-shaped molecular structure. tRNAs have two regions of fundamental functional importance: the anti-codon, which is responsible for specific mRNA codon recognition, and the 3' end, to which the tRNAs corresponding amino acid is attached (by aminoacyl-tRNA synthetases). tRNAs cope with the degeneracy of the genetic code in two manners: having more than one tRNA (with a specific anti-codon) for a particular amino acid; and 'wobble' base-pairing, i.e. permitting non-standard base-pairing at the 3rd anti-codon position. The record is from RNAcentral. Lineage: Bacteria; Candidatus Gottesmaniibacteriota.